UCUUAAAUGAUUUUUAUAUAAGUGUUUAAUAUAUGUGAAUUUUUUCAUCUAAUGUAAACAAUUGAUUUUUAGUUUAUUCUCUUUAAAUAUCUGUUGUUGUAUGAGGACAGAUGAUACCAAUGAUCUUGCUGCUGAAUGUAGGGAUAGAUUAGAGAGAAAAGAGAACUCAUGUUAACUGUAAGAAAUGAUACUUUAUUUUUAACAAGAACAACAGAAUUCCAUUACUCUAAACAAGGAGCUAGUGUUAUACCAGAUGUUGAGAUGGGGACUAGAAAACAUAAAUAUAUGCGAGAAAUUGAUUCACUGGUUGGAAUGUGGGAUGUUCCAACACCCUCCCUCGUUCCACAUUUUCUGAUUGGCUGUUACCUUUAAUUUUUCCAAUUAUUCCAAUUCUUUUUCUGAGAUUUUGAUAUCUUGGCC
RNAcentral lists this long non-coding RNA (420 nucleotides) under Androctonus crassicauda. The record is from RNAcentral. Lineage: Eukaryota; Metazoa; Arthropoda; Arachnida; Scorpiones; Buthidae.